RNAcentral lists this ribosomal RNA (467 nucleotides) under uncultured bacterium. Its description in RNAcentral is "partial 16S ribosomal RNA". It matches the Rfam family "Bacterial small subunit ribosomal RNA", at positions 28 to 506 of the family's 1533-position model. The record is from RNAcentral.
GACGAACGCUGGCGGCGUGCUUAACACAUGCAAGUCGAACGGAAAGGCCCUGCUUUUGUGGGGUGCUCGAGUGGCGAACGGGUGAGUAACACGUGAGUAACCUGCCCUUGACUUUGGGAUAACUUCAGGAAACUGGGGCUAAUACCGGAUAGGAGCUCCUGCUGCAUGGUGGGGGUUGGAAAGUUUCGGCGGUUGGGGAUGGACUCGCGGCUUAUCAGCUUGUUGGUGGGGUAGUGGCUUACCAAGGCUUUGACGGGUAGCCGGCCUGAGAGGGUGACCGGCCAAAUGGGGAAUGAGGUACGGCCCAGACCCCUACGGGAGGCAGCAGGGGGGAAUAUUGCACAAGGGGCGGAAGCCUGAUGCAGCAACGCCGCGGGCGGGAUGACGGCCUUCGGGUUGUAAACCGCUUUCGCCUGGGACGAAGCGUGGGUGACGGUAAUGGGUAAAGAAGCACCGGCUAACUACGU